RNAcentral lists this small RNA (148 nucleotides) under Callithrix jacchus (white-tufted-ear marmoset). RNAcentral describes it as "Metazoan signal recognition particle RNA (ENSCJAG00000070081.1)". The record is from Rfam by way of RNAcentral. Lineage: Eukaryota; Metazoa; Chordata; Mammalia; Primates; Cebidae.
GCUGGGCGUGGUGGCGCGUGCCUGUAGUCCCAGCUACUUGGGAGGCCGAGACAGGAGAAUCACUUGAACCCAGGAGGCGGAGGUUGCAGUGAGCCGAGAUGGCGCCACUGCACUCCAACCUGGGCGACAGAGUGAGACUCUGCCUCAA